AUUUUGAAGUGGCAAGGGCAACUGAAAGAGAGGAGAAUGGAGCCUGGCAUUUCACCUCUGGGAAAUGGAACAUUAAAAGAAAUUUCCAAUGAAAACAUGACACUAAAAUCUGAGAUUCAGAUGCAAAAAGAUUGGUGAAAUCGUGUUCCAGCCAUAUGAUGUCAUGAUGAGAGUCAGCAAAGGAUGGCCAGUCCAGGGCUGCUUCAUCACCUGCUAAAGAACUGGACCAGUUCCAUAUAUCGAACCUGAAACUGGUGGCCAGGACCCUUGCAACCCAAGCCAGGACCCUCACAGAUGCCUCCCCCCAAGCCUCAAAAAUCAAGCACUCUUUGUUCCACCAUGCCUACCCAACAGGUCAGGGAACACACCAGGCUAAUAUCCUGAAGUGUUUGGAGGCCCAUCCAGGAGCCAUCUGUUGCUUACCUCUGUGUUCUCCAGUUUGGGAGACCUCAUGGAAAAUUCAACAUAGAUUCAUCUGCAGACAGAACAACAAAGUCAGCAUUUAACUGUGCUGAAUUUUACAGAAUUUUCUCCUGCGGAUGGUAUUGAUAUCUUUUAAGUGAAUGGAGUAAUGUGGGAAUGAUUCUCUGAGUUAUUGACAGGUGUCCAGAGAGGAGCUGUGUAAGAAACAUUUUGAUCCUUGAGAAUCGCAUCAUAAUGGAUUGGGCUAAUCUCCUGGCUUUUCAGAUCUGCCCAUGUCUAAGACAUAUCUAAGGUCACAUUGUAGCUAUAGACUAAUCAGACUUCUUGCUUCAUCUUGCUCAGAUGCCAAGUUAAAGCACUUCCCAGGCUCUGACACCAUUCCUGUUAUAAAAGGUCAGAGUUCCCAGAUACAUCGGAAAAUAUCACAGACAUCCAGAGCCUCACAUUCACUUAAUAGCCAUGGUACUGGAAAAUAUUUUUCUAACUGCUGGGAACAGUGUGUGAAAUCCAUGCCAGGACAUAUUUCCUUCAAAUAUUCGGACAGUGGAAGAAGUUGAUUUCAGCUUCUGCGUUUUUCAAACUGCAGUUGAAAGCUUGCACUACAGCGUGUGUGUGUGUGUGUGUGUGUGUGUGUGUGUGUGUGUGUGUAUUAGUGGUACAGUCGUACCUCAGAAGUCAAGCAGAAUCCAUUCUGGAAGUCUGUUCGACCUCUGAAAUGUUUAAUUUCCAAAGUGCAGCUUCUUAUUGGCUGCAGGAAGCUCCUGCAGCCAAUUGGAAGUCAUGGAAGCCCCGUUGGACGUUCAGCUUCCAAAAGAAUGUUCGAAAACUGGAACGCUCACUUCUGGUUUUUGAUUGUUUGGGAGCCGGAAUGUUUGACUCCCAAGGCAUUCAGUAGCCGGGGUACGACUGUAUAUCCCAUUGUAAAGGGCUGCCUAAAUGAAGAAAAGGGAGCUGACCACUCACACCACUAUUUCUAUUUCAUUUAACAGGAUAGGUUUAGGGUGGCAGAGUCUACAACCAAUCACAAACUACCUGCCCUGUGUGGGAAAGAGGAAAACAUGUAGGACAGAUUGCAUAUGUAAGCCUAGCACAUGAAAUAGUAUUAAAUUGAGUAAGUCAGAGAUCCUCAGAAAAUCAAGUCACUUCUGUUUAGGUACCUUAAUGAAUGUUAAAAUGUUUUGAUCUCGGUUUAAGAUUUAAGAUGGUGCUUUAUCUUUGAAUCCCAGAGAGAAUCCUAGCUGAAUUAUUUUCACUAUCCUUUUGAUAGCAAUUUAAUAUGUUGCUGACUGUUCCCCCCCCCUAAAAAAAAAGAAGACAUGUUGGAGACUGCAUUCAUCCACUUGUCCAUAUAUCUGUAUAUCCUUUGUUUGAGUACAGUGACUGGUUUUCAAUAAAACCCCAGACACUUCACUUUUGCUUAUGCUCACCUUCUCUAUAGCUAUUUUUGUAUAAUAUAGGGAAGGAUAGAUGAUGGGGUAGCUAUCAACAUCUUGAUUACUGGAUACCAUCUCUCUCUGUUCUAAUUUCAUGCUAUUUCCUUUUCAUCCAGUACCAUAAGAAGCCCCCUUUCUACAGUGCUGACACUAGAAUAUAUCUAUAAAAUACUUGUAUUAAAUCCAAUAAAGCUGUGUUUUUUACUCGUGUAUAGUAAUACUCUGGAUAAAUCUUCUUAAGCUUUCUGGGUCUUAUUUGACACUAAAUUAAA
Podarcis raffonei (Aeolian wall lizard) is the source of this 2128-nucleotide long non-coding RNA. RefSeq lists it as uncharacterized. The transcript has 3 exons. NCBI's taxonomy places the organism in Eukaryota, Metazoa, Chordata, Lepidosauria, Squamata, Lacertidae. The record is from RefSeq and is a predicted model, not a curated record.